CCUACGGGAGGCUGCAGUGGGGAAUAUUGGACAAUGGGGGGAACCCUGAUCCAGCCAUGCCGCGUGUGUGAAGAAGGCCCUCGGGUUGUAAAGCACUUUCAGUGAGGAAGAACGCCUGGUGGUUAAUACCCAUCAGGAAAGACAUCACUCACAGAAGAAGCACCGGCUAACUCCGUGCCAGCAGCCGCGGUAAUACGGAGGGUGCGAGCGUUAAUCGGAAUUACUGGGCGUAAAGCGCGCGUAGGUGGCUUGAUCAGCCGGUUGUGAAAGCCCCGGGCUCAACCUGGGAACGGCAUCCGGAACUGGCAAGCUAGAGUGCAGGAGAGGAAGGUAGAAUUCCCGGUGUAGCGGUGAAAUGCGUAGAGAUCGGGAGGAAUACCAGUGGCGAAGGCGGCCUUCUGGACUGACACUGACGCUGAGGUGCGAAAGCGUGGGUAGCAAACAGGAUUAGAUACCCGGGUAGUC
This 465-nucleotide ribosomal RNA is filed under the name Vreelandella stevensii. RNAcentral's name for it is "partial 16S ribosomal RNA". It matches the Rfam family "Bacterial small subunit ribosomal RNA", at positions 338 to 795 of the family's 1533-position model. Lineage: Bacteria; Pseudomonadati; Pseudomonadota; Gammaproteobacteria; Oceanospirillales; Halomonadaceae. The record is from RNAcentral.